RNAcentral lists this ribosomal RNA (442 nucleotides) under uncultured bacterium. RNAcentral's name for it is "partial 16S ribosomal RNA". It matches the Rfam family "Bacterial small subunit ribosomal RNA", at positions 338 to 795 of the family's 1533-position model. The record is from RNAcentral.
CCUACGGUGGGCAGCAGUGGGGAAUAUUGGGCAAUGGGCGCAAGCCUGACCCAGCAACGCCGCGUGAAGGAAGAAGGCCCUCGGGUUGUAAACUUCUUUUAUCAAGGACGAAACAAAUGACGGUACUUGAUGACUAAGCCACGGCUAACUACGUGCCAGCAGCCGCGGUAAUACGUAGGUGGCAAGCGUUGUCCGGAAUUACUGGGUGUAAAGGGAGCGUAGGCGGGAUGGCAAGUUGGGUGUUAAAUCUACCGGCUCAACUGGUAGUCGCACUCAAAACUGCUAUUCUUGAGUGAAGUAGAGGCAGGCGGAAUUCCUAGUGUAGCGGUGAAAUGCGUAGAUAUUAGGAGGAACACCAGUGGCGAAGGCGGCCUGCUGGGCUUUUACUGACGCUGAGGCUCGAAAGUGUGGGGAGCAAACAGGAUUAGAUACCCUUGUAGUC